UCGCCUACGGGAGGCAGCAGUGGGGAAUUUUGGACAAUGGGCGCAAGCCUGAUCCAGCUAUUCCGCGUGUGGGAUGAAGGCCCUCGGGUUGUAAACCACUUUUGUAGAGAACGAAAAGACACCUUCGAAUAAAGGGUGUUGCUGACGGUACUCUAAGAAUAAGCACCGGCUAACUACGUACCAGCAGCCGCGGUAAUACGUAGGGUGCGAGCGUUAAUCGGAAUUACUGGGCGUAAAGGGUGCGCAGGCGGAAGAUCAAGUCAGCGGUAAAAUUGAGAGGCUCAACCUCUUCGAGCCGUUGAAAC
Molecule: ribosomal RNA, 305 nt
Filed under: uncultured bacterium
Lineage: Bacteria
Description: bacterial SSU rRNA
Rfam family: Bacterial small subunit ribosomal RNA
Source: RNAcentral